GAUGAACGCUGGCGGCGUGCCUAACACAUGCAAGUCGAACGUGAGGGGGUAGCAAUAUCCCUGAAAGUGGCGCACGGGUGAGUAAUACGUAGGUGACCUGCCCUGGAGUGGGGGAUAACAGCUAGAAAUGGCUGCUAAUACCGCAUAAUACGAGAAUGCUGGGAAGUGUUCUGGUAAAAAACUCUGGUGCUUCAGGAGGGGCCUGCGGCCGAUUAGCUAGUUGGCGGGGUAAGAGCCCACCAAGGCAGUGAUCGGUAGCUGGUCUGAGAGGACGAUCAGCCACACGGGAACUGAGACACGGUCCCGACUCCUACGGGGGGCAGCAGUGAGGAAUAUUGGGCAAUGGGCGGAAGCCUGACCCAGCAACGCCGCGUGGAGGAAGACGGCCUUCGGGUUG
This 397-nucleotide ribosomal RNA is filed under the name uncultured bacterium. RNAcentral's name for it is "bacterial SSU rRNA". It matches the Rfam family "Bacterial small subunit ribosomal RNA", at positions 28 to 425 of the family's 1533-position model. The record is from RNAcentral.